UACUAAAAGUUUAAUCAAUUUGUACUAUUAAAAAUUGACGUGAUUGAUGAAAUAAUCAAAAAAUAACACGUGGCACCUCAUGCUGACAUAUAAAGAUUAAUUUUUAAUAGAAUAAAUGAAUGUAAAUUUUAACA
RNAcentral lists this microRNA precursor (134 nucleotides) under Gossypium hirsutum (cotton). Its description in RNAcentral is "MIR7502 microRNA precursor family". It matches the Rfam family "MIR7502 microRNA precursor family". RNAcentral also lists the same sequence under 1 other name. The record is from Rfam by way of RNAcentral. Lineage: Eukaryota; Viridiplantae; Streptophyta; Magnoliopsida; Malvales; Malvaceae.